Molecule: ribosomal RNA, 1043 nt
Filed under: Vibrio cholerae
Lineage: Bacteria; Pseudomonadati; Pseudomonadota; Gammaproteobacteria; Vibrionales; Vibrionaceae
Description: partial 23S ribosomal RNA
Rfam family: Bacterial large subunit ribosomal RNA
Source: RNAcentral
UCUUUUAGACAUUGGGUAGGGGAGCGUUCUGUAAGCCGUUGAAGGUGAAUCGUAAGGUUUGCUGGAGGUAUCAGAAGUGCGAAUGCUGACAUGAGUAACGACAAAGGGGGUGAAAAACCUCCUCGCCGGAAGACCAAGGGUUCCUGUCCAACGUUAAUCGGGGCAGGGUGAGUCGACCCCUAAGGUGAGGCCGAAAGGCGUAAUCGAUGGGAAACGGGUUAAUAUUCCCGUACUUCUGACUAUUGCGAUGGGGGGACGGAGAAGGCUAGGUGGGCCAGGCGACGGUUGUCCUGGUUCAAGUGCGUAGGCUUGAGAGUUAGGUAAAUCCGGCUCUCUCUAAGGCUGAGACACGACGUCGAGCUACUACGGUAGUGAAGUCAUUGAUGCCAUGCUUCCAGGAAAAGCCUCUAAGCUUCAGAUAGUCAGGAAUCGUACCCCAAACCGACACAGGUGGUCGGGUAGAGAAUACCAAGGCGCUUGAGAGAACUCGGGUGAAGGAACUAGGCAAAAUGGUACCGUAACUUCGGGAGAAGGUACGCUCUUGAUGGUGAAGUCCCUCGCGGAUGGAGCUGACGAGAGUCGCAGAUACCAGGUGGCUGCAACUGUUUAUUAAAAACACAGCACUGUGCAAAAUCGCAAGAUGACGUAUACGGUGUGACGCCUGCCCGGUGCCGGAAGGUUAAUUGAUGGGGUUAGCGCAAGCGAAGCUCUUGAUCGAAGCCCCGGUAAACGGCGGCCGUAACUAUAACGGUCCUAAGGUAGCGAAAUUCCUUGUCGGGUAAGUUCCGACCUGCACGAAUGGCGUAAUGAUGGCCACGCUGUCUCCACCCGAGACUCAGUGAAAUUGAAAUCGCUGUGAAGAUGCAGUGUACCCGCGGCUAGACGGAAAGACCCCGUGAACCUUUACUACAGCUUGGCACUGAACAUUGAACCUACAUGUGUAGGAUAGGUGGGAGGCUAUGAAGACGUGACGCCAGUUGCGUUGGAGCCGUCCUUGAAAUACCACCCUUGUAUGUUUGAUGUUCUAACUUAGACCCGUUAUC